Arachis ipaensis is the source of this 589-nucleotide non-coding RNA. NCBI's taxonomy places the organism in Eukaryota, Viridiplantae, Streptophyta, Magnoliopsida, Fabales, Fabaceae. The record is from RefSeq and is a predicted model, not a curated record.
UUCUUGCAAAUCAUUUUCUUCUUGGCAUACUUUUAAAUUUCAAUAGGCCGAUGUCUGCUGCUUCAAUGAGAAGAUACAAAUAUUUGGUCUCAUCAUUCCAUUUUGCAAAAUGUUGAAUCCUUAAAUGGUCAAAUUCUAACCUAAUUCCUCAUUUGGGUGCAACAGUCAGUGCGAAGGAAGUUGCUUUCAGCUAAAACUAAUAAUUACGACUAGCUUCAAACUUAUUUAGAUUAUUUCCAGAAGAAGUAUCAGGGAUGGAUUAAGAGAAAUGUUGCUGGUAUUGAACUACUUGAUCUGCUUCUAGUGUGGAACACUUCUAAUGUCAUCACCUCUAUUAAUUUAGUUGGAGCUCCCUUUCGGUCUUUGCAACAUAUGCCGAGAAAGAAAAGGUCAAUUUCUUUUGCUAUCAGAAACGUAUCAACUGGUAUAUUUUAAAUUUUGUUUCAUAGUUGAGAAUGUUAUGAUUAUUGCUUGCAGUUCUUGGGCAAUGACAUAUAACUCACUAUCUAAUAGAACGCCAGCUCUUAGAAGAUUAUUGGAUUUGGAUUCUCAUAUUGCCUCUUUAUUUUUCUUGUUUGAUAAUUAAAUU